RNAcentral lists this ribosomal RNA (498 nucleotides) under uncultured bacterium. RNAcentral describes it as "bacterial SSU rRNA". It matches the Rfam family "Bacterial small subunit ribosomal RNA", at positions 28 to 526 of the family's 1533-position model. The record is from RNAcentral.
GACGAACGCUGGCGGCGUGCCUAACACAUGCAAGUCGAGCGGAAAGGCCCCUUCGGGGGUACUCGAGCGGCGAACGGGUGAGUAACACGUGGGUAACCUGCCCUUGGCUCUGGGAUAAGCCCGGGAAACUGGGUCUAAUACCGGAUAUGACGCGUGAUUGCAUGAUCUGCGCGUGGAAAGGAUUUCCGGCCAAGGAUGGACUCGCGGCCUAUCAGCUAGUUGGUGGGGUAGUGGCCUACCAAGGCGACGACGGGUAGCCGGCCUGAGAGGGCGACCGGCCACACUGGGACUGAGACACGGCCCAGACUCCUACGGGAGGCAGCAGUGGGGAAUAUUGCACAAUGGGCGCAAGCCUGAUGCAGCAACGCCGCGUGAGGGACGACGGCCUUCGGGUUGUAAACCUCUUUCAGCUCCGACGAAGCUCCGUUCUUCUGGACGGAGUGACUGUAGGAGCAGAAGAAGCACCGGCUAACUACGUGCCAGCAGCCGCAGUAAAAC